RNAcentral lists this ribosomal RNA (491 nucleotides) under uncultured bacterium. RNAcentral's name for it is "partial 16S ribosomal RNA". It matches the Rfam family "Bacterial small subunit ribosomal RNA", at positions 29 to 507 of the family's 1533-position model. The record is from RNAcentral.
GUGAACGCUGGCGGUAGGCCUAACACAUGCAAGUCGAACGGCAGCACAGUAAGAGCUUGCUCUUCCGGGUGGCGAGUGGCGGACGGGUGAGGAAUACAUCGGAAUCUACUUUUUCGUGGGGGAUAACGUAGGGAAACUUACGCUAAUACCGCAUACGACCUACGGGUGAAAGCAGGGGAUCUUCGGACCUUGCGCGAUUGAAUGAGCCGAUGUCGGAUUAGCUAGUUGGCGGGGUAAAGGCCCACCAAGGCGACGAACCGUAGCUGGUCUGAGAGGAUGAUCAGCCACACUGGAACUGAGACACGGUCCAGACUCCUACGGGAGGCAGCAGUGGGGAAUAUUGGACAAUGGGCGCAAGCCUGAUCCAGCCAUACCGCGUGGGUGAAGAAGGCCUUCGGGUUGUAAAGCCCUUUUGUUGGGAAAGAAAAGCAGCAGGUUAAUACCCCGCUGUUCUGACGGUACCCAAAGAAUAAGCACCGGCUAACUUCGUG